Molecule: ribosomal RNA, 451 nt
Filed under: uncultured bacterium
Lineage: Bacteria
Description: partial 16S ribosomal RNA
Rfam family: Bacterial small subunit ribosomal RNA
Source: RNAcentral
GUGGGGAAUAUUGGACAAUGGGGGGAACCCUGAUCCAGCCAUGCCGCGUGUGUGAAGAAGGCCUUUUGGUUGUAAAGCACUUUAAGCGAGGAGGAGGCUACCGAGAUUAAUACUCUUGGAUAGUGGACGUUACUCGCAGAAUAAGCACCGGCUAACUCUGUGCCAGCAGCCGCGGUAAUACAGAGGGUGCAAGCGUUAAUCGGAUUUACUGGGCGUAAAGCGCGCGUAGGUGGCCAAUUAAGUCAAAUGUGAAAUCCCCGAGCUUAACUUGUGAAUUGCAUUCGAUACUGGUUGGCUAGAGUAUGGGAGAGGAUGGUAGAAUUCCAGGUGUAGCGGUGAAAUGCGUAUAGAUCUGGAGGAAUACCGAUGGCGAAGGCAGCCAUCUGGCCUAAUACUGACACUGAGGUGCGAAAGCAUGGGGAGCAAACAGGAUUAGAUACCCUGGUAGUCC